ACUGCUCAGUAACACGUGGACAACCUACCCAAAGGUCUGGGAUAACUCCGGGAAACUGGGGAUAAUACCGGAUAGGUCAAGAGUACUGGAAGGGUUUUUUGAUUGAAAGCUCUGGCGCCUUUGGAUGGGUCUGCGGCUGAUUAGGUUGACGCCGGUGUAAAGUACCGGCGUGCCGAUUAUCAGUACGGGUUGUGGGAGCAAGAGCCCGGAGAUGGAUUCUGAGACACGAAUCCAGGCCCUACGGGGCGCAGCAGGCGCGAAAACUCUACAAUGCAGGCAACUGCGAUAGGGGAACAUCGAGUGGCAUCUACAUUAGGUGUCUGUCCAGCUGUCUAAAAAACGGCUGUUAGCAAGGGCCGGGCAAGACCGGUGCCAGCCGCCGCGGUAAUACCGGCGGCUCGAGUGGUGGCCGAUAUUAUUGAGUCUAAAGGGUCCGUAGCCGGCUUUGCAAGUCUUGUGGGAAAUCCAGCGGCUUAACCGUUGGGCGUCUGCGGGAUACUACAUUGCUUGGGACUGGGAGAGGUAGGAGGUACUCAGGGGGUAGGAGUGAAAUCCUGUAAUCCUCUGGGGACCACCGGUGGCGAAGGCGUCCUACCAGAACAGGUCCGACGGUGAGGGACGAAAGCUAGGGGCACGAACCGGAUUAGAUACCCGGGUAGUCCUAGCCGUAAACGGUGCCCGCUAGGUGUCACGGCAGUCGUGAACUGCCGUGGUGCCGUAGGGAAGCCGUGAAGCGGGCCACUUGGGAAGUACGACCGCAAGGUUGAAACUUAAAGGAAUUGGCGGGGGAGCAC
RNAcentral lists this ribosomal RNA (794 nucleotides) under uncultured archaeon. RNAcentral's name for it is "bacterial SSU rRNA". It matches the Rfam family "Archaeal small subunit ribosomal RNA", at positions 85 to 879 of the family's 1478-position model. The record is from RNAcentral.